CUGUUUGGGGAUGAGCCCGCGUACCAUUAGCUUGUUGGUGAGGUAAAAGCUCACCAAGGCUGCGAUGGUUAGCUGGUCUGAGAGGAUGAUCAGCCACACUGGAACUGACACACGGUCCAGACUCCUACGGGAGGCAGCAGUGAGGAAUUUUGUGCAAUGGGGGAAACCCUGACGCAGCAACGCCGCGUGAGUGAAGAAGGCUUUCGGGUCGUAAAGCUCUGUCAAGUGGGAAGAACCUGUUUGAUGUUAAUAUCAUCAAGCACUGACGGUACCACUGAAGGAAGCACCGGCUAACUCCGUGCCAGCAGCCGCGGUAAUACGGGGGGUGCGAGCGUUAUUCGGAUUUACUGGGCGUAAAGGGCGCGUAGGCGGUCACUUAAGUCAGAUGUGAAAGCCCGGGGCUUAACCCCGGAACUGCAUUUGAAACUAAGUGACUUGAGUAUGGGAGAGGGAAGUGGAAUUCCUGGUGUAGCGGUGAAAUGCGUAGAUAUCAGGAGGAACACCGGUGGCAAGGCGACUUCCUGGACCAAUACUGACGCUGAGGCGCGAAGGCGUGGGGAGCAAACAGGAUUAGAUACCCUGGUAGUCCACGCAGUAAACGGUGAACACUGGGUGUAGCGGGUAUUGACCCCUGCUGUGCCGCAGCUAACGCAUUAAGUGUUCCGCCUGGGAAGUACGAUCGCAAGAUUAAAACUCAAAGGAAUUGACGGGGGCCCGCACAAGCGGUGGAGCAUGUGGUUUAAUUCGACGCAACGCGAAGAACCUUACCUGGAUUUGACAUCCCGGGAAUUCCGUGGAAACAUGGAAGUGCCCUUCGGGGAACCCGGUGACAGGUGCUGCAUGGCUGUCGUCAGCUCGUGUCGUGAGAUGUUGGGUUAAGCCCCGCAACGAGCGCAACCCCUAUCUUUAGUUGCCAGCAUUCAGUUGGGGACUCUAGAGAUACUGCCCCGGUCAACGGGGAGGAAGGUGGGGAUGACGUCAAGUCCUCAUGGCCCUUAUGUCCAGGGCUACACACGUGCUACAAUGGGCUGUACAAAGGGUAGCGAUCUCGCGAGAGUGAGCCAAUCUCAGAAAACAGCUCCCAGUUCGGAUUGGAGUCUGCAACUCGACUCCAUGAAGUUGGAAUCGCUAGUAAUCGUGGAUCAGCAUGCCACGGUGAAUACGUUCCCGGGCCUUGUACACACCGCCCGUCACACCAUGAGAGUUGGUUGUACCCGAAGUUGCUGGACCAACCUACUCAGGAGGUAGGCACCUAAGGUAUGAUCGAUGAUUGGGGUGAAGUCGUAACAAGGUA
This 1294-nucleotide ribosomal RNA is filed under the name metagenome. RNAcentral's name for it is "bacterial SSU rRNA". It matches the Rfam family "Bacterial small subunit ribosomal RNA", at positions 215 to 1498 of the family's 1533-position model. The record is from RNAcentral.